UACAGAGGGUGCGAGCGUUGUCCGGAAUCACUGGGCGUAAAGGGCGCGUAGGUGGCCUGGUAAGUAGGGGGUGAAAUCUCGAGGCUCAACUUCGAGGCUGCCUCCUAAACUGUCAGGCUCGAGCAGAGUAGAGGCAGGUGGAAUUCCCGGUGUAGCGGUGGAAUGCGUAGAGAUCGGGAAGAACAUCGGUGGCGAAGGCGGCCUGCUGGGCUCUUGCUGACACUGAGACGCGAAAGCGUGGGGAGCAAACAGG
This 253-nucleotide ribosomal RNA is filed under the name uncultured bacterium. RNAcentral describes it as "partial 16S ribosomal RNA". It matches the Rfam family "Bacterial small subunit ribosomal RNA", at positions 524 to 776 of the family's 1533-position model. The record is from RNAcentral.